This 301-nucleotide ribosomal RNA is filed under the name uncultured bacterium. Its description in RNAcentral is "partial 16S ribosomal RNA". It matches the Rfam family "Bacterial small subunit ribosomal RNA", at positions 509 to 807 of the family's 1533-position model. The record is from RNAcentral.
CAGUAGCCGCGGUAAUACGGAGGGUGCAAGCGUUAAUCGGAAUUACUGGGCGUAAAGCGUGCGCAGGCGGUUAUAUAAGACAGAUGUGAAAUCCCCGGGCUCAACCUGGGAACUGCAUUUGUGACUGUAUAGCUAGAGUACGGCAGAGGGGGAUGGAAUUCCGCGUGUAGCAGUGAAAUGCGUAGAUAUGCGGAGGAACACCGAUGGCGAAGGCAAUCCCCUGGGCCUGUACUGACGCUCAUGCACGAAAGCGUGGGGAGCAAACAGGAUUAGAUACCCCUGUAGUCCCUGUCUCUUAUAC